Molecule: ribosomal RNA, 371 nt
Filed under: uncultured bacterium
Lineage: Bacteria
Description: bacterial SSU rRNA
Rfam family: Bacterial small subunit ribosomal RNA
Source: RNAcentral
GACGAACGCUGGCGGCGUGCUUAACACAUGCAAGUCGAGCGGUAAGGCCCUUUCGGGGGUACACGAGCGGCGAACGGGUGAGUAACACGUGGGCGACCUACCCUCAGCUUCGGGAUAAGCCUGGGAAACUGGGUCUAAUACCGGAUAUGACCUUCCCUCGCAUGGGGGUUGGUGGAAAGUUUUUUCGGCUGGGGAUGGGCCCGCGGCCUAUCAGCUUGUUGGUGGGGUGAUGGCCUACCAAGGCGACGACGGGAGCCGGCCUGAGAGGGCGACCGGCCACACUGGGACUGAGAUACGGCCCAGACUCCUACGGGAGGCAGCAGUGGGGAAUAUUGCGCAAUGGGCGGAAGCCUGACGCAGCGACGCCGCGU